ACCCUUUUAGUAUAUCCAUUACUGUACAAUUGACUUCCAAUCAAUUAGAUUCGAUAUUUAUUCGAGAAAGGGUA
This 74-nucleotide transfer RNA is filed under the name Paraechinus nudiventris (bare-bellied hedgehog). RNAcentral's name for it is "tRNA-Gly". The record is from RNAcentral. Lineage: Eukaryota; Metazoa; Chordata; Mammalia; Eulipotyphla; Erinaceidae.